AUGGCUUCCUGCAAACUUCUAGAAUAAGAGGUCCAACCUGCCCAGUGACCAUAAGUUAAACGGCCGCGGUAUUUUAACCGUGCUAAGGUAGCGUAAUCAUUUGUCUUUUAAAUGAAGACCCGUAUGAAAGGUGUCACGAGGACCCUACUGUCUCCUACUUCAAGUCAGUGAAAUUAAUCUGUCCGUGCAGAAACGGACAUACCCCCAUAAGACGAGAAGACCCUGCGGAGCUUAAGACAUACGCCACCUGCGCCUAGAAGCCCUCCCCACCAAAAGGCCACAAAGCAUAGCAGCCCUGGUCCAAAUGUCUUCGGUUGGGGCGACCAUGGGGGACAAAAAAGCCUCCAAGAAGAAACAGGGGGCCAAUUUAACCACCCCCCUAAGAGCUAAGAGUCACAACUCUAAGCAACAGAAAACUCUGACUACUAAUGACCCGGAACACUUCCGAUCAACGAACCAAGUUACCCCAGGGAUAACAGCGCAAUCCUUUCCAAGAGCCCCUAUCGCCGAAAGGGUUUACGACCUCGAUGUUGGAUCAGGACACCCUAAUGGCGAAAAUUCUAUCAAGGGUUCGUUUGUUCAACGAUUAAAGUCCUACGUGA
RNAcentral lists this ribosomal RNA (602 nucleotides) under Scleropages leichardti (spotted bonytongue). Its description in RNAcentral is "partial 16S ribosomal RNA". It matches the Rfam family "Bacterial large subunit ribosomal RNA", at positions 1815 to 2603 of the family's 2925-position model. Lineage: Eukaryota; Metazoa; Chordata; Actinopteri; Osteoglossiformes; Osteoglossidae. The record is from RNAcentral.